UGCGAUGUGGGUAUCUGCACUCAGCAGUUUAUUCUGCUGGUGUGUUCAAAGGACAGUGCAAUAGAAAUUCAGUAUGUGUCAUUGUUGGUUUUCUUUGCCUUUGUGCAUGUUAAACCUGGUAUUUAAUAUUGACACAUUA
Molecule: small nucleolar RNA, 139 nt
Filed under: Castor canadensis (American beaver)
Lineage: Eukaryota; Metazoa; Chordata; Mammalia; Rodentia; Castoridae
Description: Small nucleolar RNA SNORA8 (ENSCCNG00000010872.1)
Rfam family: Small nucleolar RNA SNORA8
About the family: ACA8 is a member of the H/ACA class of snoRNA that guide the sites of modification of uridines to pseudouridines.
Source: Rfam by way of RNAcentral